Molecule: ribosomal RNA, 742 nt
Filed under: uncultured bacterium
Lineage: Bacteria
Description: bacterial SSU rRNA
Rfam family: Bacterial small subunit ribosomal RNA
Source: RNAcentral
AGCGGCGGACGGGUGAGUAACACGUGGGUAACUUGCCCAAGAGACUGGGAUAACACCUGGAAACAGAUGCUAAUACCGGAUAACAACACUAGACGCAUGUCUAGAGUUUGAAAGAUGGUUCUGCUAUCACUCUUGGAUGGACCUGCGGUGCAUUAGCUAGUUGGUAAGGUAACGGCUUACCAAGGCAAUGAUGCAUAGCCGAGUUGAGAGACUGAUCGGCCACAUUGGGACUGAGACACGGCCCAAACUCCUACGGGAGGCAGCAGUAGGGAAUCUUCCACAAUGGACGAAAGUCUGAUGGAGCAACGCCGCGUGAGUGAAGAAGGGUUUCGGCUCGUAAAGCUCUGUUGGUAGUGAAGAAAGAUAGAGGUAGUAACUGGCCUUUAUUUGACGGUAAUUACUUAGAAAGUCACGGCUAACUACGUGCCAGCAGCCGCGGUAAUACGUAGGUGGCAAGCGUUGUCCGGAUUUAUUGGGCGUAAAGCGAGUGCAGGCGGUUCAAUAAGUCUGAUGUGAAAGCCUUCGGCUCAACCGGAGAAUUGCAUCAGAAACUGUUGAACUUGAGUGCAGAAGAGGAGAGUGGAACUCCAUGUGUAGCGGUGGAAUGCGUAGAUAUAUGGAAGAACACCAGCGGCGAAGGCGGCUCUCUGGUCUGCAACUGACGCUGAGGCUCGAAAGCAUGGGUAGCGAACAGGAUUAGAUACCCUGGUAGUCCAUGCCGUAAACGAUGAGUGCUAAGUGU